Helianthus annuus (common sunflower) is the source of this 749-nucleotide long non-coding RNA. RefSeq lists it as uncharacterized. The transcript is spliced from 4 exons. NCBI's taxonomy places the organism in Eukaryota, Viridiplantae, Streptophyta, Magnoliopsida, Asterales, Asteraceae. The record is from RefSeq and is a predicted model, not a curated record.
CGGUUUUUUGACCCGGGUAUAUAAGGUACCUAAUAAACGUAAAUCAUUCACUCUCCUCAUAUGCAUCUUCUAUCAGAACUCCUUCUCUAUCGUCACCCUCGAAACCCUAGCGGCGCAUAUGCAUCUUCUUCAACAAAUCAACAAAUCUUCUUCAGCAAAUCCCUAAUCCCUUCACUUCAUAUUCAUCUUCCUUUCCUCUCCAAACAACAGUCUAAGUGGAGAGAGAGGCGACCAAAUAUAAAGAAUCGUCGGUGUUGGAGCCGAUAUCCGGAAGGAAGAAAUAGUCAUCGUCAUCGUCGGUCUGAUCCGACCUUUGUACCACACUCUUCCUGCAUAGUUGUACACAUUUGUGAAGCAACCUCGACAAAGUGACUGAUUGAGUUUGAAAACACAGAAGCUGGGAGUUUAACAAUUGAAGAGUUCACUCAGAGCACCUUGAAUAAUGAGGAGGAAAUGCGGUCUUGUAAACAAUCUGCCGAUGCUCUAAAGUUGCCUGGAAUGACAGAUGUGGUUUGCGAGCACAAAAGGAGUGCAGUUCAAUCUGGUUUUGGGCUUUGCAAGGAUUGCUAUAUGGAGUUUUGUGGUGGACUUGAGGGUUCGGAACCUCCCGUAUUUCAACGUGCCCAAGUGGAAAGAUUAUCCAUGAUAGAGGUUAGUUUGGCAAAAGUUAAAAGGGUUUAAACUUGCAAAUUAAUGGGUAGAUAACCAAGGGAUUAUUGGACAAAUAUGGGUAAUAAACCUUUGGAAGG